AGCCACCCUGCCGCCAUUAACAGCACUAGGCAGGCAGUGCGCAGAGCUGAGAACUUGCCCCAGGUUACCCGCCUCCCAGCUGCUAAACAAAAGGGAGGCUUUUCAGCUGGUUCAAAUUGUUACAAAGUUCAGCUAGAGAUUUGCUUUUACCUGCGGCGUUUUCCCCAUACCACUGGCUGCCCUCCCGAAGAAUUCCUGUGAUGCCAGGCAGGAAUGGCCUGGUUGGAGACCAGCUAGCUCCCAGGGCCUUUCCCGCUGCUUCCUCUACCCCUGUAUUUCGCUGGGCUCUCUAAAUGGAUUCAGCUCCAGAGGAGGAAAACCUUGAGACCCUGAGACUUUCAGAAACUUAUUCACAGUUACCAAAGCUGCAGGAACCAGAAGUAAGGACAGGAGGCAGUGUGCACCGUGGGGAGAGACGGAUCUUACCACUCUCAGAUCAUCAAAUCUGCUCCACUGACCAUGGCAAGUGGGCAUCCCAGAGAUCUGCUCACAGCUUUUUCUCCCCACCUAAUGUGGCCCCAUGUCUGUCAUUUCCCCACAUCAUGUGGAAGUAGGUCUUCUUUCUUUCAGAUAGCCCGUUUUUCCCAUAGUUCAAAUCCUUCUGCAAUGAGGUCUCAGACCAUAUUGUACCCCCCGCCCCCACACUUUGCAGAAUUGUUGAGAGGUAUUUUAUAUUUGUUUGCAUAAUUAUUUGAUUAAUUUCUGUAUCUCAUGCUAAACUGCAAGCUUCGUGAAGGUAAGUUUCUCAUCUGCUUUUACUCACUACUUUAUUAUAGCCAGCACAGUUCCAGUUAUGUUGUAGACAAUCAAUAAACAUGUUGAAGAAAAGAAGAGUAGCUGAUCUUUAUUGGUAGUUUUGAGAUAACAAAGGAUGAAUGCACUCCAGCAAAACAACUUGAAAUUGUGUGUUAGAAACCAUUGCUUUAACAUUCAUCAGUCAUUCUCUGCCAUAGGCAAUAUUUCCACUGGCUAUGUCACACUUAGAUCCCAAAUUACUACAAUCUUAUUCAUUAUCUUUCUACUGCUACCUCAGGUUCUAGUCAACCAAAUCUAACUCCUUUUCUUUGCAAAAUAAAUACUUCGUAAUUUUGUUUUUGCUUUUGUAUCUUCUUAUGAGCUUGCUAUUAGGUGAGGAGUGUUUCCCAUUUACACUUAGGGUCAUCACAAAGCUAUUUUCUCAAUGAAUGGUGACAAAGUGUAAAAUCAGAGUGAUAACUAUUUGUCUAAAUGAAAAUUUCCAAAUUAAUAUACUUCCAAAUUCAUAUAUUUUUUAUUCCUAUAUGAAUUUCCAAAUUCAUAUAUUUCCUCUGAAUUUCCAAAUUCAUAUAUUUCUUAUUCUAAUAUUUGUGUAUUCUACAAAACCGUAUAUAUAUAUAUACACACACAUGUGAACUUAAGAGCAGUUAUCUCUAAAUGAUGAAUAUUUUAUAUAUAUCUCUAAAUGGUGACUAUUUAUAUAUAAAU
RNAcentral lists this long non-coding RNA (1464 nucleotides) under Homo sapiens (human). Its description in RNAcentral is "HSALNT0303784". Lineage: Eukaryota; Metazoa; Chordata; Mammalia; Primates; Hominidae. The record is from RNAcentral.